RNAcentral lists this ribosomal RNA (354 nucleotides) under Triticum aestivum (bread wheat). RNAcentral describes it as "partial small subunit ribosomal RNA". The record is from RNAcentral. Lineage: Eukaryota; Viridiplantae; Streptophyta; Magnoliopsida; Poales; Poaceae.
AUGCUAUUUUGGUGGCGUGUUUGGCUUCAUAGAAAUGAUGCGAUCUUUGCGGAAGGUAAAGCAAAAAUCUCCCACUCUACUCGGUUUUUGCAAAACUACCUUGCAAGCAUCUGUUUGAUCGAGAACGGAAAUUCCAAGAUUGAUCGUAAAGGGAAAAGCCGUAUGAUCAAAUUGGCAAAAUUGAAAGAACAUGAUAAUACAAAGGAAAAAGCUUGGCAAAAGCCUGACCACGGGUGGGCCAAGGUCAAUGUGGAUGGAAGUUUUUUGCAGGAGAAUAACAGCGGAGCAUGGGGAGCUGUGGUUCGAGAGCAUGAUGGGAGAAUUAUCUUGUCGGCCUGGGACUACAUUCCGUGA